UGCUGGACGCGCCCCAGGCGCACCCAGAAACCCUUUGUGAACUUAUACCUUUUGUUGCCUCGGCGCAUGCUGGUCUCUAGUAGGCCCCUCACCCCGGUGAGGAGACGGCACGCCGGCGGCCAAGUUAACUCUGUUUUUACACUGAAACUCUGAGAAAAAACACAAAUGAAUCAAAACUUUCAACAACGGAUCUCUUGGUUCUGGCAUCGAUGAAGAACGCAGCGAAAUGCGAUAAGUAAUGUGAAUUGCAGAAUUCAGUGAAUCAUCGAAUCUUUGAACGCACAUUGCGCCCUCUGGUAUUCCGGAGGGCAUGCCUGUUCGAGCGUCAUUUCAACCCUCAAGCAUUGCUUGGUGUUGGGGCACUGCUUUUAACGAAGCAGGCCCUGAAAUCUAGUGGCGAGCUCGCCAGGACCCCGAGCGUAGUAGUUAAACCCUCGCUUUGGAAGGCCCUGGCGGUGCCCUGCCGUUAAACCCCCAACUUUUGAAAAUUUGACCUCGGAUCAGGUAGGAAUACCCGCUGAACUUAAGCAUAUCAAUAAGCGGAGGAAAAGAAACCAACAGGGAUUGCCCUAGUAACGGCGAGUGAAGCGGCAACAGCUCAAAUUUGAAAUCUGGCCUCGGCCCGAGUUGUAAUUUGCAGAGGAUGCUUCUGGCGCGGUGCCUUCCGAGUUCCCUGGAACGGGACGCCACAGAGGGUGAGAGCCCCGUAUGGUCGGACACCAAGCCUGUGUGAAGCUCCUUCGACGAGUCGAGUAGUUUGGGAAUGCUGCUCUAAAUGGGAGGUAAAUCUCUUCUAAAGCUAAAUACCGGCCAGAGACCGAUAGCGCACAAGUAGAGUGAUCGAAAGAUGAAAAGCACCUUGAAAAGGGGGUUAAAUAGUACGUGAAAUUGUUGAAAGGGAAGCACUUGUGACCAGACUUGGGCCGGGCGGCUCAUCAGGGGUUCUCCCCUGUGCACUCCGCCCGGCACAGGCCAGCAUCGGUUCUCGUGGGGGGAUAAGACCGUCAGGAACGUAGCACCCUCCGGGGUGUGUUAUAGCCUGGCGGACGAUACCCCCGUGGGGACCGAGGUCGCG
Molecule: ribosomal RNA, 1075 nt
Filed under: fungal endophyte
Lineage: Eukaryota; Fungi
Description: eukaryotic LSU rRNA
Rfam family: Eukaryotic large subunit ribosomal RNA (bases 491-1075)
Source: RNAcentral